This 76-nucleotide transfer RNA is filed under the name Syntrophaceae bacterium. Its description in RNAcentral is "tRNA-Glu". It matches the Rfam family "tRNA". Rfam says of the family: Transfer RNA (tRNA) molecules are approximately 80 nucleotides in length. Their secondary structure includes four short double-helical elements and three loops (D, anti-codon, and T loops). The record is from RNAcentral. RNAcentral also lists the same sequence under 1 other name. Lineage: Bacteria; Pseudomonadati; Thermodesulfobacteriota; Syntrophia; Syntrophales; Syntrophaceae.
GUCCCCAUCGUCUAGAGGCCUAGGACACCGGCCUUUCACGCCGGUAACCGGGGUUCGAAUCCCCGCGGGGACGCCA